AAAAAUGCGAUAUGCAAUGUGAAUUGCAGAACCACGAAUCAUCGGAUCUUUGAACGUAACUUACACUAUUAUAGUAUACUUGUUUCAGUGUGCUCAAACAACUAUUACAACCUAAAUGUGGGAGAACUUCUCCCAUCAAAUACAUGCUCCUUGCAGCAGUCACAUUCAUUUGUGUGCUCUAAGGGAUAACUUACACUUUAUAUGCACCUGAAAUCAAGUAAGAUAACCCGCUGGACUUAA
RNAcentral lists this unclassified non-coding RNA (240 nucleotides) under uncultured fungus. Its description in RNAcentral is "sequence contains ITS1". The stretch from base 1 to 93 matches the Rfam family "5.8S ribosomal RNA", at positions 49 to 154 of the family's 154-position model. The record is from RNAcentral. Lineage: Eukaryota; Fungi.